This 228-nucleotide ribosomal RNA is filed under the name uncultured Leptotrichia sp. RNAcentral's name for it is "partial 16S ribosomal RNA". It matches the Rfam family "Bacterial small subunit ribosomal RNA", at positions 128 to 354 of the family's 1533-position model. The record is from RNAcentral. Lineage: Bacteria; Fusobacteriati; Fusobacteriota; Fusobacteriia; Fusobacteriales; Leptotrichiaceae.
GCCCUUUAGACUGGGAUAACAAGAGGGAAACUUCUGAUAAUACUGGAUAAGUUAGUAUAUCGCAUGAUAUGCAAAUGAAAGCUACGGCACUAAAGGAGAGCUUUGCGUCCUAUUAGCUAGUUGGUAAGGUAAGAGCUUACCAAGGCGAUGAUAGGUAGCCGGCCUGAGAGGGUGGACGGCCACAAGGGGACUGAGAUACGGCCCUUACUCCUACGGGAGGCAGCAGAU